RNAcentral lists this ribosomal RNA (468 nucleotides) under uncultured bacterium. RNAcentral's name for it is "partial 16S ribosomal RNA". It matches the Rfam family "Bacterial small subunit ribosomal RNA", at positions 28 to 507 of the family's 1533-position model. The record is from RNAcentral.
GACGAACGCUGGCGGCGUGCUUAACACAUGCAAGUCGAACGGAAAGGCCCUGCUUUUGUGGGGUGCUCGAGUGGCGAACGGGUGAGUAACACGUGUGUAUCAUGCCCCUGACUUUGGGAUAACUUCAGGAAACUGGGGCUAAUACCGGAUAGGAGCUCCUGAUGCAUGGUGGGGGAUGGAAAGUUUCGGCGGUUGUGGCAGGAGUCGAGGCUUACGAGCUUGUUGGUGGGGUAGUGGCUUUCAAAGGCUUUGACGGGUAGCCGGCCUGAGCGGGUGACCGGCCACAUUGGGACUGAGAUACGGCCCAGACUCCUACGGGAGGCAGCAGUGGGGAAUAUUGCACAAUGGGCGGAAGCCUGAUGCAGCAACGCCGCGUGCGGGAUGACGGCCUUCGGGUUGUAAACCGCUUUCGCCUGUGACGAAGCGUGAGUGACGGUAAUGGGUAAAGAAGCACCGGCUAACUACGUG